CANNNUANCCANGCAUGUCUAGUAUAGCAUUAUACAGCGAAACUGCGAAUGGCUCAUUAUAUAAGUUAUCGUUUAUUUGAUAGUACCUUACUACUUGGAUAACCGUGGUAAUUCUAGAGCUAAUACAUGCUAAAAAUCCCGACUUCGGAAGGGAUGUAUUUAUUAGAUUAAAAACCAAUGCCCUUCGGGGCUCCUUGGUGAUUCAUGAUAACUUCUCGAAUCGCAUGGCCUUGUGCCGGCGAUGGUUCAUUCAAAUUUCUUCCCUAUCAACUUUCGAUGUUUGGGUAUUGGCCAAACAUGGUUGCAACGGGUAACGGAGGGUUAGGGCUCGACCCCGGAGAAGGAGCCUGAGAAACGGCUACUACAUCCAAGGAAGGCAGCAGGCGCGCAAAUUACCCAAUCCCGACACGGGGAGGUAGUGACAAUAAAUACUGAUACAGGGCUCUUUAGGGUCUUGUAAUUGGAAUGAGUACAAUUUAAAUCUCUUAACGAGGAACAAUUGGAGGGCAAGUCUGGUGCCAGCAGCCGCGGUAAUUCCAGCUCCAAUAGCGUAUAUUAAAGUUGUUGUGGUUAAAAAGCUCGUAGUUGAACCUUGGGCCUGGCUGGCCGGUCCGCCUCACCGCGUGUACUGGUCCGGCCGGGCCUUUCCCUCUGUGGAACCCCAUGCCCUUCACUGGGUGUGGCGGGGAAACAGGACUUUUACUUUGAAAAAAUUAGAGUGCUCCAGGCAGGCCUAUGCUCGAAUACAUUAGCAUGGAAUAAUAGAAUAGGACGUGUGGUUCUAUUUUGUUGGUUUCUAGGACCGCCGUAAUGAUUAAUAGGGACAGUCGGGGGCAUCAGUAUUCAAUUGUCAGAGGUGAAAUUCUUGGAUUUAUUGAAGACUAACUACUGCGAAAGCAUUUGCCAAGGAUGUUUUCAUUAAUCAGGAACGAAAGUUAGGGGAUCGAAGACGAUCAGAUACCGUCGUAGUCUUAACCAUAAACUAUGCCGACUAGGGAUCGGACGGUGUUAUUUUUUGACCCGUUCGGCACCUUACGAGAAAUCAAAGUGCUNGNCUNGGGNNUNNNGNNNNNNNNNNAA
RNAcentral lists this ribosomal RNA (1080 nucleotides) under Cylindrocladiella lageniformis. RNAcentral's name for it is "partial 18S ribosomal RNA". It matches the Rfam family "Eukaryotic small subunit ribosomal RNA", at positions 40 to 1116 of the family's 1831-position model. Lineage: Eukaryota; Fungi; Ascomycota; Sordariomycetes; Hypocreales; Nectriaceae. The record is from RNAcentral.